Molecule: transfer RNA, 85 nt
Filed under: Colletotrichum lupini
Lineage: Eukaryota; Fungi; Ascomycota; Sordariomycetes; Glomerellales; Glomerellaceae
Description: tRNA-Pro
Rfam family: tRNA
About the family: Transfer RNA (tRNA) molecules are approximately 80 nucleotides in length. Their secondary structure includes four short double-helical elements and three loops (D, anti-codon, and T loops). Further hydrogen bonds mediate the characteristic L-shaped molecular structure. tRNAs have two regions of fundamental functional importance: the anti-codon, which is responsible for specific mRNA codon recognition, and the 3' end, to which the tRNAs corresponding amino acid is attached (by aminoacyl-tRNA synthetases). tRNAs cope with the degeneracy of the genetic code in two manners: having more than one tRNA (with a specific anti-codon) for a particular amino acid; and 'wobble' base-pairing, i.e. permitting non-standard base-pairing at the 3rd anti-codon position.
Source: RNAcentral
GGCCGAUUGGUCAAGUGGUAAGAUCCUUGCUUUGGAUUCAAUGAAUUAUCUGCAAGAGUCCCGCGUUCGAACCGCGGAUCGGCCC